RNAcentral lists this long non-coding RNA (1900 nucleotides) under Homo sapiens (human). RNAcentral's name for it is "HSALNT0346810". The record is from RNAcentral. Lineage: Eukaryota; Metazoa; Chordata; Mammalia; Primates; Hominidae.
UUCCCCUAGGGUCCCAUCAGCUGCUUAUGUUCUACCUUCUGACGGAUCACAGGAGGAGCCUGCAGCGGAGGAGCCUCCUCCUCCUCAGCAUCAGACCUAAAGGGAGUGUCCUGCCUGAAGGACCGGCUCAAGGUCGCACUAACAGCUCUUGCUAACUCCUGUUCCAGGCUGUUUAUCUGGGCCUCCAAGUACCCUGCUUGCGCCUGGAGGUCUCUCACCCCCAGGUCCUGCUCAAAGCUGUGCACUUGGGCCCCCAGGCAUGCGGCUUGCUCCGGAAGGUCCCUUACCUGUGGCACUGAGCAUGUACUUCCUGCAGUGCAGUUAGAAAUGCCCAUCCGACUCUGCUUGCAAAGUUCCUUUAUUUAUAGGCACAGCUGCUUAAAGACUGUUACCGGAAAGGAAUCCUGAUCCAGACGCCAAGAGAGGGUUCUUGGACUCAUGCAAGAAAGACUUCAGUUCUCAGGUCCCUGGACCAUGAAGGGCCACAUCCAAGGAGCUACCCCAGGAGGCCUCUCAUUUGCAUUUGUCCCCGCUAAUGCAGGACAGAGAUCAUGGAAGUUGGGCCCGACUGGAUGAGAUUUGGGGGUCUUUGGAAGUGGAGAAUGUGUUUGCCCUGGGGAAGAGGUGAGUAUGUUCACAGGACAGUUGUGAGUUAUUGUGGUCAGAGGGAAACCUGGGUCAGAUGGGUUACAAAGAUGGGUGCAAAACCUCUCUGUUCUUCAUGCAUGCCUCUCCAAAAUAUGACUUUGCCAUUUCUUUCAUGAAGAGGUGAUGUCUAGGAGACCUCUUCACUCAGGGCAAGCUCUAUGACCUGCUUUGACUCCAGAAUGUGGUAGAAGUGGCAUCACAUAAAUUGCAGAGCCUAGGCUUCAAGAGACCUUGCAACUUGCCUCUCACUGACUUGAAGUGCUCCCAUCAGAGCAUCUUGUAAGGAGCAGGUGGAGCAUGUGGACAAGCCAUCCCCACCAGCCCCUGAGACAUGUGAGAGAGGCCAGAACAGGCCAUCCGGACCCCACUGUGCUGGUGGAUGAGACAGCAGAAGGAAUAUCAACCUACCAACAGAAUCCUGAGAAAUGCUCACUCUUACUUCAAGCUGCUGCAUUUUGAUGUUAUGAAACCAUAAAUAACUUAUGAAGUCAUCUUUGCUGACUUAAAGUUUUCCAUAACUUUAUUAUAACAUAUCAAAAUUAUGAAAAAUGUGAAAAGUAGAAAACUGAUGAAUUUUGCUUCUUCAUAUGGUCUUUAAGAAUCUCAAAGGCACUGAAGUUUUUUAUCUUUUCUGUCUUAGAAUAAAAAACCUUGAAUGAAAAUCUGCUUCUUGGAAAAGCAGCAAGGUUUAUGCAGAGGCAAUCUGGUAUUUGUGUGCACUGGCAGCUGAUCAUACCCAGCAUGCACGCACUCUCAGGGCAGAGUCUGAUGCCCCACAUAAUGGGGCAUGGUAAGGACUCCCAUGUCCUUGAGAUAAAAUGAUAAGGAAAAUACACACUGCUAUUAGAAUAACAGGCCCAGCUUCUGCACAUUUUAAUUCCCAAAGUUUUCAUGAAAGACAAUGAUUUUUUGGUACCAUGUUUAACUCUACAAGAAUCAGUAGUGAAAACUAAAAAUGAUACUUUGUGAAAGUUCAUUAAUUUUGUUUUCAGCCAGUGGUGGCCUUGGUCAGAUAGAAUCAAAUCUAUGAUACUUUUUAUCAGAAAUGCUUAUACUGUGUACAAACCCAAAGUGAUGGCUUUCAAAGAUUGAAUUUGAUUAUUUUCUGUAUGGUGCAGAUGAAAAAUUACUACACAGGAGAAGGUGGGUUGGAGGUGCUCACGAGUAACCAGGAAACAGUCUGAAGUUUUUCUGAUACUUCUCCUUGGUCCAACCAAAUGUGAGAUAUAAACACAAACUUGGGAUUCCGUUC